UGGUCAGCUUAAAGAAAUUUAAGUAAAAAACAUUCGGUGAACUCGGGAAAAGCUAAGUUUAAAAAAUAUGCUAAUUCCGAACCAAGCUAAGUGAAGCUAAUAAAAGUAACUUAGAAGGUGUAGAGACUAAUGGUUGAGUUAUAGCAAACAAUAAUACCAACACGAGUGCCGAACAUCUUAGCAAGUAAAGUUGAAGAUGAAGAUAUAGUCCGAUACUCUUAGGAAACUAGGAG
RNAcentral lists this non-coding RNA (233 nucleotides) under Clostridioides difficile CD002. RNAcentral's name for it is "Intron_gpI". It matches the Rfam family "Group I catalytic intron". Rfam says of the family: Group I catalytic introns are large self-splicing ribozymes. They catalyse their own excision from mRNA, tRNA and rRNA precursors in a wide range of organisms. The core secondary structure consists of 9 paired regions (P1-P9). The record is from RNAcentral. Lineage: Bacteria; Bacillati; Bacillota; Clostridia; Peptostreptococcales; Peptostreptococcaceae.